This 492-nucleotide ribosomal RNA is filed under the name uncultured bacterium. RNAcentral's name for it is "partial 16S ribosomal RNA". It matches the Rfam family "Bacterial small subunit ribosomal RNA", at positions 29 to 507 of the family's 1533-position model. The record is from RNAcentral.
AGUGAACGCUGGCGGUAGGCCUAACACAUGCAAGUCGAACGGCAGCACAGUAAGAGCUUGCUCUUACGGGUGGCGAGUGGCGGACGGGUGAGGAAUACAUCGGAAUCUACUUUUUCGUGGGGGAUAACGUAGGGAAACUUACGCUAAUACCGCAUACGACAUACGGGUGAAAGCAGGGGAUCUUCGGACCUUGCGCGAUUGUAUGAGCCGAUGUCGGAUUAGCUAGUUGGCGGGGUAAAGGCCCACCUAGUCGACGAUCCGUAGCUGGUCUGAGAGGAUGUUCGGCUACACUGGAACUGAGGCACGGUCCAGACUUCUACGGGAGGUAGCAGUGGGGAAUGUUGGACAAUGGGUGGAAGCUUGAUCUAGCCAUACCGCGUGGGUGAAGAAGGCUUUCGGGUUGUAAAGCCAUGUUGUUGGGGAAGAAAAGAUGCAGGUUAAUACCCCGAUGUUCUGACGGUACCGAAAGAAUAAGCCCCGGCUAACUUCGUG